RNAcentral lists this transfer RNA (73 nucleotides) under Candidatus Woesebacteria bacterium RIFCSPHIGHO2_01_FULL_44_10. Its description in RNAcentral is "tRNA-Trp". It matches the Rfam family "tRNA". From Rfam's summary of the family: Transfer RNA (tRNA) molecules are approximately 80 nucleotides in length. RNAcentral also lists the same sequence under 2 other names. Lineage: Bacteria; Candidatus Woeseibacteriota. The record is from RNAcentral.
AGGCGCGUAGCUCAACUGGUAGAGCACUCGUCUCCAAAACGAGAGGUUCCAGGUUCGAGACCUGGCGCGCCUG